Long non-coding RNA from Homo sapiens (human), 570 nucleotides. NCBI's taxonomy places the organism in Eukaryota, Metazoa, Chordata, Mammalia, Primates, Hominidae. The record is from Ensembl.
AAGUGAGGAGCGUCUUUGCCUGGCCGCCCAUCGUCUGAGAUGUGGGGAGCGCCUCUGCCCCCCCGCCCCGUCUGGGAUGUGAGGAGCGCCUCUGCCCAGCCGCGACCCUGUCUGGGAGGUGAGGAGCAUCUCUGCCCAGCCGCCCCGUCUGAGAAGUGAGGAGACCCUCCGCCUGGCAACCGCCCUGUCUGAGAAGUGAGGAGCCCCUCCGCCCGGCAGCCACCCCAUCAGGGAAGUGAGGAGCGUCUCUGCCCGGAGGGAAGAGUGAAUAUAAGUGUGGCCUGAGUGAAAAGGAGAUUCAGACACGUCUGUAAGCUGGUGAGGCCGGGCAUCGGAAACCCUAUUUACGCGACUCUGAGGAGCCUCCUGAGAAGCCAAGCUCUGUGCCGAUGGGAUCAGACACCACUGAACAUGUCCACGGUGCUUGGGGGCUUGGACAACAGCAGUCCGACACUGAGACACCUGCAGGCACGGAGUUCAUCGUCCCAGGGGAAGUUUGUUACAGUAAAUGGAUGAGCACCUGACCCAAAGGCCGCCAACCAAUAAACUAGCCAGUGUCGUGUGUGAUAC